CAACUUGGAGGGUUUCCUUAAAGAUAGGGGGUCUGAAGACUCGAGAAGGGGGAGAGUUGGUCGGGGUGGUUCCUGUGGCUCUGAGAAGGCUUGCUCUGAAGGAAGCUGAAGGUGGGGGCCUCUGAGACUGUUUCUCCAUUUUGGACACAUGAGUAAUAGGGACUGAUCUCUUUUCUUUGCCCCAGCUAUCUAAGGGCUUGGGCCUUUUGGCCCAGCCUAAACAGAAGGGGUAUUUAAGCCCUAUUCCCUUCUCUCCCUUUUUCUCUCUCUCUCUAUCUCUAAUUCCUUUCUUACUCCUAUUGUAAUUAAACUCCAAAAAAGGCUGACGGCUGACUUGAGUUUUUCAUUUAGGAAUUACAUAGCUGAUUCCUUGGCGACCUUAAAUUAAUAUAUAUCAGUCUUUUAAAGUGAUUCCCUUGUCACAGAAAGGAAGGAGGAAGAGCUCCCUUUGGGCUGCUGGGCAGAGGGAUCAGUGAUGGGAGAAAUGUCCUCAGGCGUGCAUGGAGAAGGGGAAGGCAGCACAUGCCAUAGGCUUGCCAAUGGAGGGCUAGGGAGUUAAAUGUCUUUGAAUAGGAAUGAUCCUUCCAACUCUAUAGUUCCAUGACGCUGGGAACAGGUGGUGCUCUGGAAAGCUGACAGAGGGUCAGUGAGGAUGGAAGCUGAAAGAUGGAACUUGGCAGAGUAUCCAGAGAUGACCUGGAGUGAAUGUUUAGGCAAACUCUCCAAGGCAAGAAGUGACCACCAGGAUUGAUAGAGGGAGUUUCUGCACCUGGAAGUUUUCUUUCUUAUUGAAAUCACAGUCUCCAUUCCUAUCUUCACUGCCUCUAAGAACCCUGAAUGAAGAGAAUUAAAUAAACAGACUAAAAAUCAACA
This 873-nucleotide long non-coding RNA is filed under the name Monodelphis domestica (gray short-tailed opossum). RNAcentral describes it as "lncRNA (ENSMODG00000036593.1)". Lineage: Eukaryota; Metazoa; Chordata; Mammalia; Didelphimorphia; Didelphidae. The record is from RNAcentral.